CUCAUUUUCUCUUGCUGCCGCCAUGAUUCUGAGGCCUCCCCAGCCAUGUGGAACUGCAAUACUUUAAAGACACAAAGUCUCAACAACCAUCUUCCGCUUGACGAGACAGAUCAUUCUAAUUUGAGCAGAAGCUACUAUGUCCUGCCCUUUGAACGCGGCGGCCCGGAAAGCUGACAAGGACACACUGUGUAUUUCCAUUCCAAUUCUGGGAGUGCUCUGAGGCCUCUGGGGGAGAAGGACCCAUGAAAUAUUCAAAACAUAAGUGAAUAAAAUAUCUAGGUGCUAGAUAUGGGCCAGGAAGAGCCCUUGGCCCUGCAAAGUGUGUGUGAUGGUGAGAAGCUACCAGAAGAGAUGGUCCCUGUUCUUGGUUCAUUCCUUGGACAUUUAUCAAGCUGACGAAUGUAGCAGAGGUGCUUCAGUCGGCUGUAAUUCCACAGGUGGAGUGCUGGCUGGAGAGUUACCUGGGGCUGUCACACUGCAUGGGCUCCGGGACACUGUGGCUGCCCUUAUGUGGUGUCCCCAGAGGGCCCUGCAGGUGUCACACCGCUGCUCCACACUGCCACCUGCUGUCAGCACCUGUGCAACGUAUCCAGGUCUCUGGGGGCUAGAAUGAAAAACAUGCAUCUCGUAACCAAUGAAAUCAGGCUUGUCCUGAAGACCUCGUGCAUUCAUCCAUUCUCACACUGCUAUAAAGACAUACCUAAGACUGGGCACUUCAUGAAGAAAAGAGGUUUAAUUGGCUCACAGUUCUGCAGGCUUUACAGGAAGCAUAGCAGCUUCCACUUCUAGGGAGGCCUCAGGAAACUUAUAGUCAUGGUGGAAGGUGAAGGCGGGACAAGGCGUCUCACAUGGUGGGAGCAGUAGAGAGAGAAAAAGAGGGGGUGCCGCACACUUUGAAACAACCAGAUCUAACGAUAACUUACUAUCAUGAGAACAGCACCAAGAAGCUGGCGCUAACCCACUUGUGAAGGACCACCACCAUGAUCCAAUCCCUUCCCACCAGGUCCCACUUCCAAUGUUGGGGAUUACACUUCACGGUGAGAUUUGUGCAGAGAGGACACAGGUCCAAACCAUAUCACCUGCUGUCUUUUUAUUUAUUUAUUUAUUUAUUUAUUUAUUUAUUAAGACAGAGUUGCUUCGUCACCCAGGCUGGAGUGCAGUGGCGCGAUCUCGGCUCACUGCAAGCUCCGCCUCCCAGGUUCGCACCAUUCUCCUGCCUCAGCCUCCCGAGUAGCUGGGACUACAGGCGCCUGCCACCACACCCAGCUAAUUUUUUGUAUUUUUAGUAGAGACGGGGUUUCACCAUGUUAGCCAGGAUGGUCUCCAUCUCCUGACCUCGUGAUCCGCCCGCCUCGGCCUUCCAAAGUGCUGGGAUUACAGACAUGAGCCACUGCGCCUGGCCUAUUGAUUUAUUUUUGAGAUGGGGUUUCGCUCUUGUGGCCCAGGCUGGAGUGCAAUGGCACGAUCUCGGCUCACUGUAACCUCCGCCUCCCAAGUUCAAGUGAUUCUCCUGUCUCAGUCUCCCAAGUAGCUGGGAUUACAGGCAUGCGCCACCAUGCCCAGCUAAUUUUGUAUUUUUAGUAGAGACGGGGUUUCUCCAUGUUGGUCAGGCUGGUCUUGAGCUCCCGACCUUAGGUGAUCCGCCCGCCUCAGCCUCCCAAAGUGCUGGGAUUACAGGUUUGAGCCACUGUGCCUUGCCCACCUGCUGUCUUUUUGCAUCUUCCAAGUAGACAUCAAAGAUUGGUUUGCUAUCAGUGUCACUUCUAUAAUCCAUGGUUCUAUAUGAAGAAAACAAAAUCCCAAUUGGGGAAAAUGAACCCACGGCAUUUUGUUUCUUACCCUGGAGCCGUUUCUGGCAGUUUGCCAGCAAGUACACAGACCCACAGGACAAGCUUGGUUCAUGGCCUGGAGUGCUGGUCUUGCUCAUGGACACGCAAUCAGAAGCAGUAUUUUGAUACAAACCCCUGUGCUCAUGGCAAGGAGCUGCGUGGGCUUUCAGGGUGGAACCAGGGCUUCAGGGAACCCCUUCAUCCCGACAGGCAUCACCCAGAGCACACCCAGAGCAGCCUGCAGCGGCGUGGAAGAGGCUUGCACUGGCCCCAAGGUGCAGGGGAGCCCUGCCUGCCUGUCUCCUGCUAGGCUUGCCUGGGCUCCCGCCUACAGACCAUGAGAAUUCCUCUAGCAUGGGGAGAGUCUGACCAAAGUGACAACAGCCAUCCCCUGACUGCCCAGCACUGUUCACUUCUUCCCAGAUACUCCUACCAGACCAGGUCAGCCCUUCUUUUACUGGGGGGCCAGAAAGAUCCCCCCAAUCCAGUCCAGGACUCCAGAUGAUGCCCAUUUCUCUGCCAGUCCCAGCAAUCUCCCUUCUCAGCAUCUGGCAUCCUGGGAUGUACCCUAAAGUUCACUGGCUCAGAGCACCCUAACUAUGGCUGCGGCGAGCGGGGGAGGGUGGGAUCAGGUCGGCGUGCUGCACAUGGGUCCUGGGGUGGGAACAGUAUUCUGGCUAUGCUCCUGCAGCUGGGCCCUCACAAGGGGGGCAGCGUCUGCACCCUCUCAAGGCUUUGCAGAUAAGGGUUUAUUGAAGAGGGAGGUGACCCACACCAUCCCCACUGAGGGAUCUGGUUAGGGGGCUCCCCCCAGAAUGUAGGCAAGAGGGCAGCAUCUUGAUAGUGAGGGUUGGUCACCCGGGAACCACAGUAACGUCCGCAGGGACCUUCCCCCAGUGGCACACACUUCCCAGAAUGCUCACAGUCACCCUCAGCUUUCAACUGUGGGGACCUAACGCGUCUCCUGGUAGAGUCCUCACUCCCUUGGCUAAAACUUCUGAAAGCAGCGAGGCUGGGCUCCCUGGCUAGGAUGGCUCUGGCCCUGAGCAGGUCAUUUGCGUCAAGUUUCACCACCCGGCACCCUGUGCUUUCCCCAGCUGGCUGCACGCUGGGCCUCCGGGAAGCCGGCAAGCCCACCUGAUUCUGAAUCCUCCCCUCGAGCCCGGGGGUCAGAAUUGCUGUGUGGGAGAUUCUGCUGUCAUGAAAGAAGCUGCCAGAAGCCCACAGCAGGGCAGUUAGGCAGGGAAUGCGAGUCCGUGUCCAGAGCAAGGGUGACUCCAGCCCCUCCAGGACGGAGAAGCCAGUGAGACCCACUGUCCCAGGCCCCCAUGGCCCUGGCUGCUCCUGGCGGACAGAGGGGCAUGUUGCUCACGCUAUGCCUUGUUCCCUCUGGGCUGCCAUGGCCCCUGGAACAAUUCCUGGGACAGCCUGGGGAGGAGGCUGACAAUCAUGCAAGGUGGAUGGAGCUUGGCCCCUCCCAGUCACCUAUGUGUUCCUUCCUCCGACUCCCGUGGGGCUGGAGUCAUGAUUUUGCUCCCCAUCCCAUCUGUAGGCCGCCCCUGCCUGGAUGAGACCACCCUGACACUCACCCGCCUCCCUCCAGGAGGACCCCAGCUCCACUUUCUCCAGGGCCACCUGUGAUGCACCAGGAUCCAUCCUGUAAUCCCAGUUACUUGGGAGGCUGAGACAGGAGAAUCACUUGAACCUGGGAGGUGAGAGGCAGAGGUUGCAGUAAGCCAAGAUUGGACCACUGCACUCCAGCCUUGGCAACAGAGAGAGACUUCGUUUCAAAAAAAAAAACCUAUGCAAAUCCCAAUUACACACGCUGAGUGGCAUGUUCAGCUGAGCCACCUGCCCAAGGCGGGAACCUCUCUUCCUCCGUCUGCAGGUCACAUGGAGAUGGCAGAGCACCUGCACGUGCACCUGGAGACCCGCUCAAGCCUCGUCUCCUGACACUGCCUCCUCCUGACAUUGGAGGCUGCUGGGAGUGCCAGCCUGUAACCCUCGUUGUGAUGGCACCUGCCUGGUGCUAUAAUUCAGACAUUUGUCUCCCCAACCUCGUGUUGAAAUUUGAACCCCAAUGUUGGAGGUGGGACCUGACAGAAGGUGACUAGGACAUGAGAGCUUGGUGCUGUCCUCGCGGUCAUGAAUGCAUUCAUGCUUUAUUCCUUCUUACAAGAACUGAUUGUUAAAAAUGCUUGGCACCUCCUCUGCCCACUCUCUCUUGCUCCCUUUCUCACCAUAUGGUCUGCAUGCACCUGCUCCCAUUGCCUUCUGCCAUGAGUGGACACUUCCUGAGGCCUCACCAGAAGCAGAUGCUGGCACCAUGCUUCUUGUACAGCCUGCAGAACUGUGUGCCAAAUAAACCUCUUUUCUUUAUAAAUCACCCAACCUCCCAACACAAUCGUCCAAGACACCUGGUAUCCCCCAAACAGCUCCUUGGUCAACCUCAGAUUCAGGACCAAUCUGAGAGCUGUUUCCGUGAAGGGAGGAGAGGAGAGUUGUUAGCUGAAGAGGACAUGGGUUUGCUCAAGAUCCCUGCAUUCUCCACUAUGGCUCUCUGAUUCUCCUCUCUGAGCUUGUGGCAGACACGGCAGAUACCUCAAGCAUGGCUGGGCAGCAGAUGCUGGCUGAGAGGAAGUGGCUGAGCCCAACUUGUCCCUCCUCAGACCCCAGAAUUGCCAAGACCAGAGUCCUCCAUAAAGACCUCACAAACAGGCAAUCACUGCAUGCUUUUCCACAAUUAAAUAUGUGCACAUCUUAAGGAAAGGACCUAACAUCCUUCAGCAGUAUCUCCUUCCAGGGCAGGGAGUGACUGCGUCAGCAGCCUCAAGUACCUGGAAACUGUCCACAUCAGGCAAAGUGGUGGGAGAGACACAGAUGUUUCCACCAGCAUUUAAAAGAGAGGAAAGAAAAUUAUUGACAAGAAGCCUCCAUGGUGGAUCAGGCUUCAACGUUUUGAUGGACCUGACCUCUCUUGGAAGCAAAUCCCUGGAUGGAGCCCAUGUCUCUUUGGGCCCCCAAAGGCAGCCUGACCUUGACACGGAGUGCAAAGCAGACUCAGCUGCUUGUGUUUAAUGGGGAUUCGCAUAGUUGGUUUUUGUUUUUGUUUUUGUUUUUUUGAGAUGGAGUCUUGAUGUGUUGCCUAGGCUGGAAUGCAGUAGCAUGAUCUCUGCUCACUGCCUGCAACCUCUGCCUCCCCAGUUCAAGUGAUUCUCUUGCUUCAGCCUCCCGACUAGCUGGGAUCACAGACAUGUGCCACCAUGCCCUGCUAAUUUUUGUAUUUUUAGUGGAGAUGGGGUUUCACCAUGUUGGCCAGGCAGGUCUCGAACUCCUGACCUCAAGUGAUCCUCCCACCGCGGCCUCGAACAAUGCUGGGAAAACAGGUGUGAGCCACCAUACCCAGCUGGGAUUUCUGUAGUUUUGUCCGUGCUGUUACAUGGUGCACUGGGCAGAGCCAGCCAGUCCUGCCUCGAGCCCUGUUACUUUGGUCUCUGAUGCAGAUGUUGUGUGGCAGUGGAACGGCCUCAUCAGCCCCACCUGGGACCUGGCAGGGGAUGGGUCUGAGCAGCCCUAGAGGAGGGUCCCCAGGGCCCACAUCGAGGGUGACAUGACCCACACCAUCCCCACUGAGGGGACCCACACAGUGACCCUCCUCCCACACCCCCUCCCUAGCUGGCCACUUGGACCAGAGAGACGUUGGGGAGGAGGCAGAGUGACAUUAUCAAAGUGCCCUCUCGGAAAUGUCGCCUUCAUCCACCAUCCUCUUUUAACCCACUGGGCUUGGUCAGGAAGCCAUCGGUCAGCAGGGGGCAGGUGUGGUUGGGGGGCACCCUUAUGUCCUGUGAGACCCUAGCAGGCACUCCAGCUUGGGAUUUCCAGAGGCUCUGAGGUGGCUAAGAACAGGAUGACAAAUCAACUCCAAGGUUCAACUCUUCCCCCCAUGGACACUCCUCCCUAUGCUGUUCUCAUCUCAAAUUUUACCUGUUUUUCUCAAAGUAGCUCACCAGAGGUUGGAAAUGAGAUCAAAGGUCAGCGUGGAUCUCAACAUUAUUAUUCAUCAGGGAAAUGCAAAUCACACCAGAGAUGAGACGCCACGACACUCACACUAGCAGGGCUAAAAUUUAAGAGUCUAGCUGGGGCUGGGCAUGGUGGCUCAUGCCUGUGAUCCCAGCACUUUGGGAGGCCAAGGCAGGAGGAUUGCUUGAAGCCCAGGAGCUCAAGACCAGCCCCGGCACCAAAGCAAAACUGUACCUCUACAAGAAUUUUUUUUUUUAAUUGGCUAGAUGUGGUACACAUGCCUGUGGUCACAGCUACUUGGGAGGCUGAGGAGGGAGGAUCACUUGAGUCCACGAGUUCGAGGCUUGGUGAACUGUGAUCAUGCCACUGCACUCCAGUCUGGGCAACAGAGUGGGACCUCAUCUCUUAAAAAUAAAGAAAAGGAAAGGAGUGGAAAGGAGAGGAGAGGAAGAAACUUGAUAUUUCAAUUAUUUUAAAUUUGUUGAGACUUGUUUUGUGGCCUAACAUAUGGUCUAUCCUGGAGAAUGUUCCAUGUGCUGAGGAAAAGAAUGUAUAUUCUGUGCAGCUGUUGGAUGAAAUGGUUUGUAAAUGUCUGUUAGGUCCAUUUGGUCUAAACCAUAGUUUAAAUCCAAUGCUUAUUUGUUAAUUUUCUAUCGGAUGAUAUGUCAAAGGCUGACAGUGUGAUGUUGAAGACCCCAACUGUUACUAUAUUAGAGUCUCUCUCUUUAGAUCUAAUAAUAUUCACUUUAUAUAUCUGGAUGAUUUGGUGUUGGGUGCAUAUAUAUUUACAAUUGUUGUAUCUUCUUGCUGAGUCAGUCCCUUUAUCAUUAUAUAAUGACCUUAAUCUCUUUGUAGUUUUUGACUUAAAGUCUGUUUUAUCUGAUAGAAAUAUAGCUACUAUCGCUCA
Molecule: long non-coding RNA, 6756 nt
Filed under: Pan troglodytes (chimpanzee)
Lineage: Eukaryota; Metazoa; Chordata; Mammalia; Primates; Hominidae
Description: lincRNA
Source: RNAcentral